AUGGCUCUGGGAAUGUAGAAUACCAGUAAUAUUUCCAUAUUAAUUACAUUCAGAAUUGAAAUAAGGGUCUUGCUUUGCUACAUGUUGUAAAGACGGUUACUGCAUGACUGAGCUUAUGACUGAAGUAGCCAAGACAAAGGGAAGGAGAUGGAAACUGUUGUUUCUUCUUACAGGGGGAAGAUGACAAACAGAAAGGAUUUGGAAAGCAGCACAAAAAUCGUAGCAGGACACACGGCUCCCCUCUGAUCUAAGGGUUCAGAGAAGUGCCAGGUACUGUCAGUGCUUCUGAAUGCUUUCUGUAGUGAAGAUGUAUUUCAAAGGAGGCAACUAUUCCGAAAUAGUCAUGUGUAAUUACAGUUUCUAUAUACUGCAAACUUAAUGUAUGUAACCGCCACUUCUGGAAUGUAGAGUCCUGUAUUGGCACCUUUACUGCACAGCAGAUGAGGGUGUUGAUCAUCUGUCCUCGUUAACAGCUGCCUGCCCGCUCCCGGAACGCUGCAGGUAACUGGGAUAGAUGUCAUGACAGCAAGAUGGUCCUUUGGAUGUCAGCUGAUAAAAACAGCUACGUGAGGCUUCGCAAAACAAUCGGGAUUGAAACUCCCCCGCCCACAUGUGCCUCUAUUUUCUACAUUGACGUGUUUUCCUGCUUUGGGGCGAGGCUACUGCUUCUUCAUUAGUAUUGUGCCUGGAAAAAAAAGUAUUACACGUGUAAUCGUUUUUUCAAGUUAUAAGUGGAGGCCAAUAAAUACACCCAGCCCAGAGCAAUGCAAAGCACGUGGCCUGGGCUAGAUGAAUAA
Non-coding RNA from Anas platyrhynchos (mallard), 797 nucleotides. The record is from RefSeq and is a predicted model, not a curated record. Lineage: Eukaryota; Metazoa; Chordata; Aves; Anseriformes; Anatidae.